UGGGGAAUAUUGCGCAAUGGACGAAAGUCUGACGCAGCGACGCCGCGUGUGGGAUGAAGCCUUUCGGGGUGUAAACCACUGUUGCCCGGGACGAAACUCUCCUUUCGAGGAGAUUGACGGUACCGGGUGAAGAAGCUCCGGCUAACUUCGUGCCAGCAGCCGCGGUAAUACGAAGGGGGCUAGCGUUGUUCGGAAUUACUGGGCGUAAAGCGCGCGCAGGCGGCUAUCCAAGUCAGUGGUGAAAGCCCGGAGCUCAACUCCGGAACUGCCAUUGAAACUGUUUAGCUAGAGUAUGAGAGAGGUGAGUGGAAUUCCCAGUGUAGAGGUGAAAUUCGUAGAUAUUGGGAAGAACACCGGUGGCGAAGGCGGCUCACUGGCUCAUUACUGACGCUCAGGCGCGACAGCGUGGGGAUCAAACAGGAUUAGAUACCCUGGUAGUCCACGCCGUAAACGAUGAUUGCUAGCCGUUGGACAGCUUGCUGUUCAGUGGCGCAGCUAACGCAUUAAGCAAUCCGCCUGGGGAGUACGGCCGCAAGGU
RNAcentral lists this ribosomal RNA (538 nucleotides) under uncultured bacterium. Its description in RNAcentral is "bacterial SSU rRNA". It matches the Rfam family "Bacterial small subunit ribosomal RNA", at positions 355 to 894 of the family's 1533-position model. The record is from RNAcentral.